GAUGAACGCUGGCGGCGUGCCUAAUACAUGCAAGUCGAGCGAACAGACGAGGAGCUUGCUCCUCUGACGUUAGCGGCGGACGGGUGAGUAACACGUGGAUAACCUACCUAUAAGACUGGGAUAACUUCGGGAAACCGGAGCUAAUACCGGAUAAUAUAUUGAACCGCAUGGUUCAAUAGUGAAAGACGGUUUUGCUGUCACUUAUAGAUGGAUCCGCGCCGCAUUAGCUAGUUGGUAAGGUAACGGCUUACCAAGGCAACGAUGCGUAGCCGACUUGAGAGGGUGAUCGGCCACACUGGAACUGAGACACGGUCCAGACUCCUACGGGAGGCAGCAGUAGGGAAUCUUCCGCAAUGGGCGAAAGCCUGACGGAGCAACGCCGCGUGAGUGAUGAAGGUCUUCGGAUCGUAAAACUCUGUUAUUAGGGAAGAACAAAUGUGUAAGUAACUAUGCACGUCUUGACGGUACCUAAUCAGAAAGCCACGGCUAACUGCGUG
Molecule: ribosomal RNA, 497 nt
Filed under: uncultured bacterium
Lineage: Bacteria
Description: partial 16S ribosomal RNA
Rfam family: Bacterial small subunit ribosomal RNA
Source: RNAcentral